RNAcentral lists this unclassified non-coding RNA (407 nucleotides) under soil metagenome. RNAcentral's name for it is "partial contains 5.8S ribosomal RNA, internal transcribed spacer 2, and large subunit ribosomal RNA". The stretch from base 1 to 121 matches the Rfam family "5.8S ribosomal RNA", at positions 35 to 154 of the family's 154-position model. The record is from RNAcentral.
GAUGAAGAACGUAGCGAAAUGCGAUAAGUAAUGUGAAUUGCAGAAUUCAGUGAAUCAUCGAAUCUUUGAACGCACCUUGCGCCCUUUGGCCAUUCCGAAGGGCAUGCCUGUUUGAGUAUCAUGAACACCUCAACUCUUCAUGGUUUUCCAUGAUGAGCUUGGACUUUGGGGGUCUUGCUGGCCUACGGUCGGCUCCUCUAAAAUAAAUCAGCUUGCCAGUGUUUGGUGGGUAUCGCAGGUGUGAUAACUAUCUACGCUUGUGGUUUUCCACCAAGUAACCUUCAGCAGUGGAGGUUCACUGGAGCUCACAGAUGUGUCUCUCCUCAGUGAGGGACAGCUCUUUGAAUGUUUGAUCUCAAAUCAGGUAGGACUACCCGCUGAACUUAAGCAUAUCAAUAAGCGGAGGA